This 489-nucleotide ribosomal RNA is filed under the name uncultured bacterium. RNAcentral describes it as "partial 16S ribosomal RNA". It matches the Rfam family "Bacterial small subunit ribosomal RNA", at positions 30 to 506 of the family's 1533-position model. The record is from RNAcentral.
AUUGAACGCUGGCGGCAGGCCUAACACAUGCAAGUCGAACGGUAACAGGAAGCAGCUUGCUGCUUCGCUGACGAGUGGCGGACGGGUGAGUAAUGUCUGGGAAACUGCCUGAUGGAGGGGGAUAACUACUGGAAACGGUAGCUAAUACCGCAUAACGUCGCAAGACCAAAGAGGGGGACCUUAGGGCCUCUUGCCAUCGGAUGUGCCCAGAUGGGAUUAGCUAGUAGGUGGGGUAACGGCUCACCUAGGCGACGAUCCCUAGCUGGUCUGAGAGGAUGACCAGCCACACUGGAACUGAGACACGGUCCAGACUCCUACGGGAGGCAGCAGUGGGGAAUAUUGCACAAUGGGCGCAAGCCUGAUGCAGCCAUGCCGCGUGUAUGAAGGAGGCCUUCGGGUUGUAAAGUACUUUCAGCGGGGAGGAAGGGAGUAAAGUUAAUACCUUUGCUCAUUGACGUUACCCGCAGAAGAAGCACCGGCUAACUCCGU